Molecule: small RNA, 105 nt
Organism: Flavobacterium sp. FPG59
Lineage: Bacteria; Pseudomonadati; Bacteroidota; Flavobacteriia; Flavobacteriales; Flavobacteriaceae
Rfam family: Flavo-1 RNA
Source: Rfam
UUUUAGCCCCGAUAGCAGUGGAAAUCCUUUCUAGUCUUACAUGUAUUUCAGGUCUCUGAAAUGUGUGUAAGACUAGAAAGAUUGUAACGGAUAGCGGGAUUAGCU